This 200-nucleotide ribosomal RNA is filed under the name uncultured bacterium. RNAcentral describes it as "partial 16S ribosomal RNA". It matches the Rfam family "Bacterial small subunit ribosomal RNA", at positions 524 to 724 of the family's 1533-position model. The record is from RNAcentral.
UACGUAGGGGGCAAGCGUUGUCCGGAAUUAUUGGGCGUAAAGAGCGCGUAGGCGGUCCGAUAAGUCGGCUGUGAAAGUCAGGGGCUCAACCCUUGAAAGCCGGCCGAUACUGUCGGACUAGAGUCCGGAAGAGGCAAGUGGAAUCCCGGUGUAGCGGUGAAAUGCGCAGAUAUCGGGAGGAACACCAAUGGCGAAGGCAG